GCGGUACUCUGACCGUGCAAAGGUAGCAUAAUCAUUUGCCUUAUAAUUGAAGGCUAGUAUGAAUGGUUUGACGAAAAUUAAGCUGUCUCUUUUUAACUAAAUAUAACUUUAUUAGUAGGUGAAGAAGCCUACUUAUUAUUGAAAGACAAGAAGACCCUAUCGAGCUUUAAAGAAUUUAGUAAGCUUAUAUAAUAUUUAUAAAAAAAAUAAAAUUACUAAAAAUUUUGGUUGGGGCGACUGAGGAACAGAUAAAGCUUCCUUUAUAAAUAAAAAACAUACAGGUAUUGAUCCAGUAAGCCUGAUUAAAGAAAUUAGUUACCGUAGGGAUAACAGCAUAAUCCCUUUUGAGAGUUCUUAUCGAAAAGGGGGUUUGUGACCUCGAUGUUGGACCAGAAUACCCAGAAGAUGCAGCUGUCUUCAAUGGUUGGUCUGUUCGACCAUUAAAAUUCU
This 450-nucleotide ribosomal RNA is filed under the name Thais sp. SZ-2009. Its description in RNAcentral is "partial 16S ribosomal RNA". It matches the Rfam family "Bacterial large subunit ribosomal RNA", at positions 1933 to 2597 of the family's 2925-position model. The record is from RNAcentral. Lineage: Eukaryota; Metazoa; Mollusca; Gastropoda; Neogastropoda; Muricidae.